RNAcentral lists this ribosomal RNA (653 nucleotides) under uncultured bacterium. RNAcentral describes it as "bacterial SSU rRNA". It matches the Rfam family "Bacterial small subunit ribosomal RNA", at positions 54 to 752 of the family's 1533-position model. The record is from RNAcentral.
CAUGCAAGUCGAACGCUCACCUUCGGGUGGGAGUGGCAGACGGGUGAGUAACACGUGGGAACGUACCCUUUGGUUCGGGACAACUCUGGGAAACUGGAGCUAAUACCGGAUACGCCCUUUUGGGGAAAGGUUUACUGCCGAAGGAUCGGCCCGCGUCUGAUUAGCUAGUUGGUGGGGUAACGGCCUACCAAGGCGACGAUCAGUAGCUGGUCUGAGAGGAUGAUCAGCCACACUGGGACUGAGACACGGCCCAGACUCCUACGGGAGGCAGCAGUGGGGAAUAUUGGACAAUGGGCGCAAGCCUGAUCCAGCCAUGCCGCGUGAGUGAUGAAGGCCUUAGGGUUGUAAAGCUCUUUUAUCCGGGACGAUAAUGACGGUACCGGAGGAAUAAGCCCCGGCUAACUUCGUGCCAGCAGCCGCGGUAAUACAAGGGGGCUAGCGUUGCUCGGAAUCACUGGGCGUAAAGGGCGCGUAGGCGGCGUUUUAAGUCGGGGGUGAAAGCCUGUGGCUCAACCACAGAAUGGCCUUCGAUACUGGGACGCUUGAGUCUGGUAGAGGUUGGUGGAACUGCGAGUGUAGAGGUGAAAUUCGUAGAUAUUCGCAAGAACACCGGUGGCGAAGGCGGCCAACUGGACCGGCACUGACGCUGAGGC